The submitters of this non-coding RNA (96 nucleotides) gave its source as unclassified sequences. The record is from Rfam.
AGCCACACCCAAUAGGUGAAAAAUCAACUUUUGAUGUAGUGUUGGUAAUCGUGCAUUUGGCACGGCUGAAGACAGAGAAAAAGUAAAAGCAGACAA